CUCAUUUUCUUCUUCUUCCGGGGUGGGGUGCUCCGGGUCGUAGAAGUCCCCCAUGGUGGGGCGGGCGCUGUCGCCGGGGUCGGGAGGGCAGCGCGGCCCCUCCCGCGGGCAGGGCCGGCCCGGGAGCCCCUCUCCGCCCUCCGAGCCCGGUGGGGCUCGGCUCCGCGGCCGCCGCCUCACAUCCUCCGUGGGGCCCCGCGCUGCAGCGGCCGCCGGCGGGGCCCCGCCAUCCGCGCCGCGCCGUGCCCUGCCCGCCCGCCGAGCGCCGAUCCGCCCCGGCCCGGCCCGGCUCCUCCCCGCCGCGACGUCCGCGCCGCCGCCGCCGCCGCUGCUCCCCCCCCGCUUCCGAACGGGGCUGCGGAACGGCGCCGGGAUCCAACGGGACCCACCGGGAGUGCCGGGAUCCAACCGGCCGGCUGGCACCACCGGGACAAGAGGGACCCGCUGGGACAACCACCACCCUACCCCCCCACCCUGGGCAACCAGGACAGCCGGGACCCAACGGGACAACCGGGACCCAAUGGGUCAACCGCCCCCCCACCUCCCACCCUGGGUAACCAGGACCCCACGGGACAACUGGGACAGCCAGGACCUCAAAGGGCAACCUGGACAAUCAACAUGCAUUGGGACAGCCGGUACCUACUGGGACAACCAGGACUAAGUGGGACAGCUAUCAUCUACUGGGACAGCUGGGACUAAACAGGAUAACCUGGUACCAACCAAGACAACCAGAACCUACUGGGGCAAAUGUGGCUAUCAGGACCCCAUAGGACAACUGGGACUCAAUGGAGCAACCAGCCUCCAUCCGGGGCUGUCAAGACAACUGGGACAACCAGUACCCAACAGGACAACCGGGGCCUUUGGGAUCACUGAGACGCCCAGAAUCAGCACCAGGAUCAGCACCGGGACGCCAUCGCUCCUGGGAUCACCAGGAACUCCAGGAUCACCACUGGGACACUUGAGAUCAGUGGGAGCCCCGGGAUCAGCUCCGAGACCCCAGGGAUUAGUACUGGGACCCAUAGGAUCAACGGGACCCCUGGGAUCAGCACCAGGACACUGUCACCCCUGGGACAACCAGCAACCCCAUGAUCACCCCCUGGACAACCGAGACCUUUGGGAUCACCAAAAGUGCCAGGAUCACCCCCUGACCCCAAAACAACUGGCAACCCCCGGAUCCCCACAUCCUCCUGGGAUCAGUGCAGGGAUCACUCACACCCAAGGAUACGGGACACAAGCACCCCUGGGACAACCAGCCCCCCAGGAUCACUGGGACCCCCAGAAUCACUCUGCAGGAUCUCCGGGGAUCCAUCACACCCAUGGACAUUGUGGCACCACAGAACACAGCACUCCGGCACACAAACACCCCAAGAUGGCUAAAAGCUGCUCUUGCCCCUUUCAAAGAUUAUUUUCUUUCUCCCUGGGGGAGAACUCAUUUCCUUGCGAAAUUCUGCCUGGGCUGAACUUCCAGCUGCUUUAUAAGCCUCUGCAAAUUGAUUAUUACAAAGAAAAGGCUGAUGUACACACACUGUUAUCACCAGCCCUUGGGCUGAGCAGGCGAUAUUACAGCAACAAAGUAAACUGCAAGGAAUUAAAGCCAAGCAAACAGCUUGGAUUAAUUAAUCUUCCCAGCAUUUCAGGUGAAAACCCCCAGCUCAGGAUGCUGUAACCCGUGGUGGAUGGAGCAGCCCAAAAAGCUGCAGCAAGGAGCUGGUAGAAGGAAGAAGAGUUACAGCGAUGGGCUCUGCGGCGCACUGCAGCAGAGAUGUCCCACAUCCAGGUCAUCCAUGCAAACCAGAGCAGGUAGGGGAGGAGAGGUUGCCCUUCCCAGCCAUGGUUCUGUGUGGGAUGCAGUCAGCAGAGCAAGGGAUGUCCCUUGGAGGACUCAGCAGCCCUCGGUGUGCUCUGCUCAAUGCUGGAGGUGGCAGCAGCCUGGUGAAGCAGCACAAUGCUCUCCAGAGCUUUCCAGUUGCUGGGCGCUGUGAUCUCAAUCCAGAACUACCUUGCUGGAGAGCAAUGGGCAAACAGUGCCCAACUCUCCUGUCCUGGGGUGGGGAGGCUGCUUUAACUCAACACUACUGUAUCUAAUGCUCAGCAACUGGUGGAAAUGCUUCCUUGUGUGCACCUAUCUCCAGAGCAGGCUGCUGGAGCCCUGGGGCUGCUUCAGUCUGAGGGCUCUCACCCACUCCUGCUUGUCAGGAUCCACCCUGAGAGCAUGGAGCCAGCACAGAUGUGCCCUGAUGCUCGCACAGGUGAGAAUAAGGCUGGGAGGCUCUGUCUCCAGGAGGAAGGAGGGCAGGAGCAGUGCAGGGUGCCCAUGACACCCCUCUGCCACCACACUGCCUGGUGCAGGGACACCCACAAAGACAAGCACUGCUGUUUCAGCUCCCUGGCUUGCAUCCUGUCCAAGCUCUGGGUCUGAUUACCAGUAACUGCUGUUCUAGCUGCAAAAACCAAGUUGUUUCUUUGAUACUGUCUUUUUCCUUUUGUUUAUUUUUGGUAAACCAGUUGUGGAAAUGAAGUGACGUUGCUCAUCCCCCUUGUGCUGAAUGCCAGGCGAGCCCCAAUCUGCUAUGUGACAUGCAGAAAUGACAGGGCUUUAUCCUUCCCUGCAGCUGUGAUGUGCCCGGGUUUCUUGUGCAUUAGCUUGAGGGAUGACAUGGUUCUGCUGUAUGUGUGCUGGCAACAGAAAACAAACAAAAAACCAGUUAUUUUCAGAACAGAAGUCUCGUCAGUAAAAGCAUUUUCCCUGCCAAAAUAAACACCCUUUCCAACCGUCCCAAGUAGGGCUGCUCAAAUAGGAACCAUGGAGAGUGCAGCUCUGUCACAGCAGCAUUGCUUUGCUGGUUGCAAAUGCCAUGAAGCUUGGAGGAGGGUACAAGAAGCCCUUAGGGCUCAGCCUGGGAGCUUCUGCCAGAACUGAGGUGUUGGUUUUGUGAUGUUCUCUUAAAAAAUGUAUAGUGGUAUAACAGUGCAGCCCUAACACUCAAUCUUUCUGAAGUCCCACUAAGCUCACAGCCUCUCUGGUAAUUUAUGGUGAGCCUUUGCCAGGAGGGAAGUAGUGGUAAAAAGUGCUGGGAUUGCUUUUUAGCAAUAGGAUGGGGCCUGUACAUCAGCCAGUAGCAAUGAACAUCUCAAAGUGCUUCGCUGUGCUGGAGAACACCUUCAACGUGGUCCAAAGGGCUGUGGCCAAACUGCAGCCAAACAGGCCCAGAGGAGCCCUGCAGCAAGGCAUGGAGCUGCUCUCGCUACACACGUUGGCAGUGUUACAAGGAACUGGGUCCAGCUGACAUCACCUUUUGAUCCGUUUUCAUUUUUGCUUUGUAGAAUGAGACAGAAUCCGGCCCAGCGGGCAGCAUCACCUCCUGCAUCCGCUCGAACCUGUCCUGCUCAUCUUCCUCCUGCCAGCAGAAAGACAGAGCCACGUGAAAACCACACACUGUGGCGGAUUCCAUUUGUUGCAUUGAACGCUGGUUCUCAGAAGCCUCAGGACAUGGGCUGGGAGUGGUAGGUGCCCCCUUUCCCUUCCUUAGCUGAACAGAUCUGGGCAGGACUUCAGGCAAAGGCCAUCUGCGAGCAUAGAACCUUGGAGGGAGUUCCCUCAGCUGUCUUCUCCAGCUGUAUCUACCCAUGGGACUGUCUCCACUGCAGGGUAAUCUCCCAGCAGGAAGAACAUCUGAGCUGCAAGUUCUGCCCCAUGCCUACAUCUCUCCAGGCAACGUCUUGGAUGGCGUGAGCACAGCAAGGAAGAGCGUGGGUGGAAUAGAAGCAUAACUUUUUAGAAUUAUAGAAUUGUGGAAUCAGGUAUCAGCCAGUGCAUAAUGUGUCCGUGUUUGAGGAGCACCCUGGCAGAUUCUUUGGGCACCUUCUGAUCGUGAGCAGCUUGCAGAAGGUAACGGUGACUGGUUACCUUACAAAAAGGUAAAUGGCCAAACUGACUCAAACCAGGAGGAAAAGGUGCAUACCCUGAUGAGAGCAAUCAGUCUGGAAAAGGAAAAAAAAAUGGUUGAAAGGAGGAAAGAAACCUCUACAGGAAUACCAGCACUGCCAAUGGCACUAACUGGGAACCUCAGUGACCUGCCCAGGGAAAGCAGAAAGAGAAACCAGCACUGAACAGCGUUCCAAGGGACGUUGCUUAACUUCUGCGUGAAGAUUUCUGCCUGUGACAUCAUCAACUUGACACAGCUGCAAAACAUUGCUAAAAGGCAUGCUUCAUUCAUCUUUUGGGUUUUAAUUGAUGUGAUGACAGCAAAUCCAGGGCUGGAAAGUAUUAAGGGAGUUUCUGUGAAUACACUGAGUAACCCUGGUUAGUAAAAGUGACUGGUGAUGGAUUUCCUCUUUUCCCCAAAGAGUGGCACCCUGGGGCAGCGUAGUCAGUCUCCCUGCUGACCUCAAUAGGCACAGCACAUCAUCCAAAGGGGUUUGGGGCUGCUUUUUUCCUUUGGUUGGGGUUUUUUUGGGGCUCUUCUCUGCAUAGAUUUUGCAUCUGCAGUUUUCCAGGCUGGUAUAUCACAGCAUUCUGCUUAAAAGCAAACUUAUACAUCUUUUCCUUACAUAAUGUUUGUUAUUCAUAAUCUCAAGGGAACGACUUCAGUAGGAUAGGAGGAAUCUGUCUAUGAUUAGCUUCAAAACUCUUUGCAUGCCUUUCGAGGAGAGAAUAAAGAAAAUGCUUCACUGAGAUUUACAGUCAAAAUAAUCAGACAUAUGGAGACAAAAGAAGUCAUUUUCAGUUUUCCUUCUUGGGAGCUAAAGGCACCCUGUCCCAAGUGACAGACAGACUAGAAAUAAGGCCAUGCACUUAGGGAGGGGGUCACACAGUUAUGCCCCACUUACAGUCCUUCCCAGCUGCCCACAGGUGCCCCUGCUCCUCCUGGGACAGACAGACCUACAGCAUGUCCACACAGCUGCCCAGAAGGGGUCUGCAGGGGUCAGACAGUGAUGAUGCAGACAGGGACUAAUUCAGGGUGGGAUGCACCCAUUGCUCGUGUCAGAGUGGAAGCCCUGCCACCACAUUGCUAUCAAACAGCAUUAAGGUUUCAAGUGUGACAUUUAAUAAGGAAGGACUGGGAUAACUUCAGAGGAGAAUAAUGCAAAGAAGAAAUCUGGUAAAUAGAAGCUUAAGAGAAAUGUCCAUUGUCAGGAAUGACAGAAGAAGAUGGAUACCCGAAAGAGUUGGUUUCUAAGCAGAAGGCUGGCUAAGUACCAGUUGCCACAACAUGAAACACAAUAGUUCAGCUGUAAACAUUACAGAUCAUACAGUCUGGAAACAAGCCUCCCCACUACCCCUUGCACCUCUGGGCACUUUGCCUGAUUACUGAUAGUCAGCAGAUGACUGGGUGCUUCAAUCACUCUGUCCUAUUUUAGCCUCUUAAUGGCAAAGAUGACAGGAAUGCAAGAUGCACCUCCAGAUAGCUGCUCUCUGCAUCAUGUCAGAUAGCAUUUCAGUGCCACGCUGCUUAGAGAAAGGGGCAGAGCUGCCGUGCCCUCCUCCCACAGGCUUAGCUGUGCCCUCAUUACCACACAACGUGGGGGUAGCAAGAAGAAGCAAAGCUGCCAGGAAAACUCACCAGGCACAUAACUCUGUUUAUGGGAAUCAUUCCAGGUCUGAUGUUGCCACCGGACUUCAGGGCAUUCUGCACAUAUGUGGGGAUGAGGAAGGACUCACUGUACCAGAUCUCAAACUCUGCAAAGCAAAGUGGGUUGCAAUAAAUAGGGCUGUAGUGACCAGAGACAAGGGUGGAUUUCUUCCAGCUCCCUGCCCGUGGGCCAGGCAGGACCUCAGUGCUCCAAACUCCUAAGUUUCAACCUAUUAUUAAAACUCGUUAAUAAGGACAGGGCGCUGUCAGCUGGCAAAGGCUGCUGCUCGGGAGGUGGCAAGGACCUGAUGGCCGUGGGGACAGUCCCUGAGAGAGGCAGGCCACCAGGUGGCACUGCUCCUGCACCCAGCCGUCUUCCCCGAGCCGUUUGCGGGGCAGGGAGCUGGCAAUUUUGAGUGGUCAGGCCAUUUGAGGGUCAGAUUUCAAUCCCAAAUGCUAAAGAAGCACAGCCAAAUUCCAUCCCAUAAUAGCCGGUGAUACCACCCAACAGGUGCUGCCACGCAGCGGGCAUGAUGUCUUUAUAACACUGGGCAUUUCCCAGCAAAGCAGCUGCACUCUGCUCUGUUCCCUUGGCUCAUUUCUCCAUUUCAGGAGCAGCUCCUGCACAGGCAGCGUCCCCCACUAUGACCCACUGCUCUGUGCCACAGGACUCAGGAGUAAUUAGCAAUAUCAGACACAGACCCUGCGGUGCAGACACUGUGGACAUGAUGCAACACCGCUGACUUUUCACCCUGGUAUCAGCUCUGAGCUGACCUCUUUGCUCUGGGAUGACACACAUAUUUGUCUGAGUGGGUCCAUGCCUGAGCAUUUAAACAGCAAUCAUCUGGAGCACCCCAAGAAUGCCAAACCCAGGUCCAACAGAAACCAGUGGCAAACUCACUGUACAAUUAUUAUUUGACCCCGUGUAGCUCCUGGAACAAGCCAUGCAUUUCUUUCAACGUGGGAUUUACUGAUGGAUACAAGUUGUGUUCUGGCAAGUUUGUAGGAAAUGAAGUGUUGCUAUGUCCACAGCAUCCAAAUGUUUGGGACUCUGGCAUUUGUACACCUCCUGUUCCAUCACAAGCAUAAAUGUGGGCAUACAACAGGACCACCCUCUUGGUUGUGCAGACUCAAACUGAGCUGCCUGCAAUGGAGCAUGCCACGAAUUUGCCCAGAUCAUGCAAAGCAAAGGUGUGACUCAUCAGCACGAGGGCUGUGCUCGUGUGUGAAGAACAGGCUAAAAUGACUGAGCUUUGCUUCCUACUGCAGUGCUGAAAUCUGAGUAAUGCUGAUCUCCCAGGGGUACAGAGGAGACAGCUGCAGCUCAGAGCCAAAGGCAGGUGUCGUUCCUUAGUCACCAUCUAUAUUAAAAGAAGUCAAAGGUGAGAACCAGGGCCAUCAGUGAGAGCAUUAUUAUAGGCUCUUACCCCACAGGAAUGCAUCUAGUGGUGUGAUCAGGGAGCAGUAUGUCAUUAUCUGUGAGAGAGAAUCUACAGAAAUUCAGUGGUAUUUCAAAAUAAAUAAACAAAUAAGAUAAGAUAAAAAGAUAAAAACAUAAUAAUCAUCAACAAAAUACAAAUCAGGAAGGCAGUGAGGAAAACCACAACAGAGAAUGGCAGGGGCUUGUGGUAUAUGCAACAAGUCUGUGCAGUGCUUCAGUGCUGAGAUGCUCUUGAGCACUUCAGCUCUGCUGGGUGCUGCUCGGAAGCUGCCCUGGUGUGCCAGUACCUGAGAUGAGUUUGUUCCGGCACUGGUCCACCAGGUGCUGGCAGUACUGGAUUUCUGCCUUCAGGUCCUGCAGUUCAGCAUAGCUACAUCUGUACUCUUCCUUCAGGUCCUUCAACUUCAUGAUGAGUAAAAACUCCUUCUCGUCGAUGAUGAGGCGUCCUUUCUCAUCAACAUACUCUCCUGGAGGGUUAGAAAAGGAAAUCAAGGUUUCUCAUGAGGGCGAAGAGGGACAAAGCACAGUCAUUAUACCACGCGGUAGUUACCCAGUUAUACUGAGGUUAACCACACAACUGAUAUUUCCUUAGACAUGUUUUCUACAAAGACAAUGCUGCAGUGAUGUGGGGCAGAAAUCAUACCUGAGCUCCUGAGCCCACUCAGCCCUGUGAGAUGCAGGUGAGGAGCAUGGUCUGGGCCUGGCAGCCUGCUGGGAGGUGUCACUUAAGGCUCUGGGGACUCUUACAAUAAAGAUUGUCCCCAAACCCCUCAAACCCCUCACCAUGGCUCCUGUGAUGUCCCCUUUGGAGACAAAGGGCUGACCAGCUCUUUGGAGACCAUCUGCUUCCCUAGGAUAAACAUCUUUAGUUCUUGGUUGCCCUCAGAUCAGUUUAUUCUUGCAGUUUCCAGAGCCUGCCAGUUGGUGGAUGUCCUCAUAAAGAGCAAAGGCCCCAAAAAAGUAAUGAGUCUGUGAAAAGAGAAAUGCUCACUCUGAUAUAGCUUCAAGCUGACACCACUCAUCAUUUAGCCAAAAGGGCUCUGCAUCCUGCAGGGUCAGACCCUAUGGGAAGAGGCUGCUCACAAAGCACAGACAGAAGAGCUGUUUUGCAGGAAGGGAAAUGGAAGCCAGUUGUGCACUGUGGGCCUGAUGCAGGGGCCAUCAUUCACUAGUGGGGGCCUUCUUGCUAUUGACCACUCCCUUUCUCUUUCAUUCCCUCUUAGUAGCCCAGCUGCAGGGAGCACAAAAUCUGACAAGCUUUUUAGGCAUAUUCUACCUAUGAAACAUCUCAGCACAGCAGAGUAGCAAGGAACCUACCCCAUUUUUUCCUCUAGCAAUGUGGGAUUUUGACUUCCAUAAGCCAGACACUAAUCUAGGUGAAAUCAGACUGUAGGGCAGUGAGGCACUGGCACUGCUGCCCAAAGAAGCUGUGGAUGCCUCAUCCCUGGAAGUGCUCAAGGCCAGGUUGGAUGGGACCCUGGGCAGCCUGAGCUGGUGGGGGCAACCAGCCCAUGGCAGCAAGGUGGAACUUGAUGGGAUUUAAGGUCUCUUCUAACCCAAUUGUUCUGUGAUUGUAUGAGAUGCAAUAAAUCUCCACCACGGUAAGGCCGAGCCUGCUCCCCAUGACUUCUGUGCUGUAUUGACCUGCAUUUGUCAGCAUCAGAGCACAGAGUGAGGAGUGCUGAGGACUCCAAGGCAGGAGGAAUCAGGUGGCAAACCACAAGGCCAGCUGCAGAGCUAAGGCAUAAAGGAUGGCAAGCAGCAGUGGGGUGUAGUGGUCCCGCCACCAAAACUGCUCUGAAACCAGCAGCUCCCUCUCCUGCCAGGUUCUUACUGGCCAUUCUCCACGCAGUGACUUACCCUGCUGUGACCGCUCCUGCCUCUGAGCCUCCAGAGCCUUUUUGAUGUCCUCUAUUUCCUGUUUGAUGAUGUUGAUCCUCCGGGCUACUGUACUGCUUCUCUUCCUCCUGGCGAGGAGGAUGCUUUUGUUCUCUUUAAAGAUCCGGUUGAUCUCACUUCCACACUCCUUCUUAAACUGCUCAAAUGCCACUGCCCUGGAUGGAGGGGAGCUGCAACAGAAUUCAAAGACACAUGGAGCUGUGGGGAGGUCAGUCUGUUCUGCCCUGAGUUACACCAUGGGAGUGGCCAUCCCUGAGGUUUAUGGAUGGUAUUUCAGUGGGACAUUUGAGGACCCCACUGUGCCAGCUGCAUCCUGGUACCAUCUCUGUGCUGGCCUUCACGCAUCUGUCCCCCCUACAUAACUCCCCCAAGAGUUAUUUCCAUGGAAGCCACAUUCCUCAGAUGUCUCAGAAUCGAUUCUUUCCUGGAAAGAGGAUUUCUAAUAGUUUGAAUGUUCAGAAAAACAACUAAUCCCGUUCCUCCCUAUUGUUGAACAGAAAUGCUUUUGUUCUUUUCUUUGUGGAUUCCCAGCACAGACUGACCACGUCUGCCAAGCAAAGCCCUGAGCUGCAUACAGUUGGCUACUCUACAAUGCUGCCUCCCAUGGCCUUUAAGCUCAGCCUGUUUUGAAAGACUGAAUUCAAAGUUGUAUUUGUC
RNAcentral lists this long non-coding RNA (9570 nucleotides) under Gallus gallus (chicken). The record is from RNAcentral. Lineage: Eukaryota; Metazoa; Chordata; Aves; Galliformes; Phasianidae.